AACUACUCCCUUCGUCCUAUA
RNAcentral lists this microRNA (21 nucleotides) under Corchorus olitorius. RNAcentral describes it as "bdi-miR11". Lineage: Eukaryota; Viridiplantae; Streptophyta; Magnoliopsida; Malvales; Malvaceae. The record is from RNAcentral.